This 752-nucleotide long non-coding RNA is filed under the name Calidris pugnax (ruff). RNAcentral describes it as "lncRNA (ENSCPUG00000012764.1)". Lineage: Eukaryota; Metazoa; Chordata; Aves; Charadriiformes; Scolopacidae. The record is from RNAcentral.
AUGAAGGCUGCUACAAAUCAGAGUAGCUCAUUUGCAGUUGAUGAAGUUGCAGCAAUGGGAUUUGCUUCUGGACCUUUUGGCAAAAGGGAUUUGACAGGUUUCGUUCAUCAGGAAACUUUUCAAAUUCAGAACCAAGAAGAAGAGACAGCUGCAGAAGAGCAUGUGACUGAUCAAACAACCCCCUGGGUAGGACACAAGCCCAUCCAAGGCCCUGCUGUGGAUUAUUGCUGUGAAGAAUCUUUCCAGCCUCAAGUGAGUGCCCCGGUGAGCCGAGCUGCCUAUUCGAGUUCUUUCUGUGUUAUGGGGCUUUCUUUCCAUGAAAGUGAUUUAAUUUUAUUUCAAUAUAUAAUAUGAAAAAGAGAAAUAAUAUUUUGAAGUUUCAUAAAACACAGUUACCUUCUGACCAGCAUUAGCAUCAAUACAACCACUUCCUCUUGUUUCCUUGCUGGAUGCUGUAUGUUGUGACUAUGUCAUCUUCUAUGUUUCUUUUCACUUUGUACUCCAUAUUUGAUUGUUCUGGCAAUCUUUUUCACGCUAUUUCUGUAACUCAUCAUGUGUCUUUAGUAAGAGAAUGUAAGAACAGAUUGAUUCACCAUGAUUCUCUUUGACAUUGCACUGUAAUUUUUUUUUUCAACUGUCUACAAAGGACCAGGGAAUUCCUUUAUUCCUAAAUUAUUUAUAUGAACACAAAUAGAAUACAGUGGCAGUAUAAUCUUUUAUUAAUAAACUUCUUAGAUACUGGCCCUGUUGCA